CGCUUUUCCCUUUUUUAUUUCUUUUAAAUUACGAAAUUAAUCUUUAUUGGAUGAAAAAUAAAUACUUGAUACAAAAAAAUUAAAGUAAUUGUUUACAAACAAAAAUAUUGAUUUCAUUCAAUUAAUUACUUAAAUAUCCCUUUAUUUCAAUUGACCCUUAUUUUUAUAUUCAUUUUUAAAAACUUUAAAUUUGUCUAUUCCCUCAUUUAGAUUGUCCAACCAAAAGGA
RNAcentral lists this long non-coding RNA (228 nucleotides) under Lathyrus oleraceus (garden pea). RNAcentral describes it as "Pisum sativum (pea) long non-coding RNA (PSAT_LNC007827)". Lineage: Eukaryota; Viridiplantae; Streptophyta; Magnoliopsida; Fabales; Fabaceae. The record is from RNAcentral.